CACAAAUGUAUUUACUGGUCGCUUAUUGUUAAAUUAAUUGAUCACAAAUAAUUUCGUGGUCACAAAUCAUUCAAAUUACAAGUCAUAUUUUAUCUAAGGGUCGCAUAUGUUACAAUUUAUUGGUUACAAAUUAUUUUUUAGCCAAAGACACCUAAUAUUUAUUCACAAAUCAAUCAAAUAGUUGGUCACAAACGCCUAAAUAGUUGGUCACUGACAUCCCACCGCCUCACCACCAUCAGCUCAACCACCACGUACAUCCCUGCUACAUCCUUGCACCUUGCUCCAACAACGAGCCACCACCUCCAAUCAACCAACACACUGUCGUAUGCUAAAAUCUACCACACCACCACAGCUACCAUCCCACCAACAAAAUCAUCAAAUUCGCCACUGCAACCAAUGUCACCACCUCAAAAUCACCGCCAAUAUCACCAUCACCAACUAACAAACAUUGUCAACCAAAACACUGCACAACCCGAGCCAAAAUCAGAGUCGUAAAGCCACCACCACUCUUAUGAACACAACCACUAGAUCUACCAAAAAUCCCCAAAUUGUCGCCGCCAUAACCUCC
This 568-nucleotide long non-coding RNA is filed under the name Olea europaea subsp. europaea. The record is from RNAcentral. Lineage: Eukaryota; Viridiplantae; Streptophyta; Magnoliopsida; Lamiales; Oleaceae.